Molecule: long non-coding RNA, 711 nt
Organism: Daktulosphaira vitifoliae (grape phylloxera)
Lineage: Eukaryota; Metazoa; Arthropoda; Insecta; Hemiptera; Phylloxeridae
Exons: 3
Source: RefSeq, a predicted model, not a curated record
CAUUUAGUCGCACAUAAUUGAUUUAAUGAUUUUUUAGUUAUACAUUUUUGACUUUUUUCGAUUUGACUAUUCAACACAUCUUUUCGCUUUGGAAGAUGAAUAAGAAAUAGCAAGGUUUAAAACAUGAACAGCACAAUGAACAAACGUCGCAAGAGGAUAACUUUGGUGAAUAAGAGAUUGAGCUCCGUUAAAUUGACCAGACAUAGAAGCACAUCCAUCGUAACACUGUCCUCUAAGUAGUAUCUGUUGUAGGCACAAACUGAAGAAUUCUUCCUUGAUAAUCAUAUUUUCAACAUCUAAAUAUCGAACACACAAAGUUACUUGUUCGCUUCCACCAAUGUCGGCCGUUUCAUCAGCAAGUAUUUUGAAACAUCUUUGGGCAUUUAUGUUUGUUACGAUUUUAUUUAAAAUAAUUUUAUUACAGGAUUCAAUUAUUUCAUUUUGAAGUGUUUCACUUGUAUAUUUUAUUGUUUCUUCAGCUUCCAAAAAUGAUUUUAAACGGUCAUCUCCUUGGGCUCUGUAUCUUAAUAUUUCUCUAAAAUUUCCUUGAUUUUCUUGGAUAAUUUGUCAUUUUAUUGAUAUAUAUUGAAGUUACAAAGAUAUCCGUUAUUGUCAAAAAAAAAAAUAAUAAUAAUAAUAACAUUAAAAAUGCAAAUAAUAAUUAAACCUAUAAGGUAGUUAAACCCUAAAGUUAUUUUCGAUUUGUUAAAG